Peromyscus eremicus (cactus mouse) is the source of this 410-nucleotide long non-coding RNA. RefSeq lists it as uncharacterized. Lineage: Eukaryota; Metazoa; Chordata; Mammalia; Rodentia; Cricetidae. The transcript is spliced from 3 exons. The record is from RefSeq and is a predicted model, not a curated record.
CAGCCUGCCUGUUGAGGCGAUGUUGUGGAUGUCCCUGGCUCCAGUGUUCCCUGCUUUGGAUGAUGUGGGGCAGCAUCCACUUGAAUGCACUUCACCAAGGAGGCCAAGGUUUUGGAAGGAAGCCCUUCUCCACUCCCAUCUCAAUAUUAGACCAUCGAAGCAUGGGACAGGAAGCUCUGGCCCCCCACCCUGGAGUCCUGAUCAGUGUACACAGCUGCCUGUCCCUUUCCCUUGUGUCCAUCCGGGAGCAGUCUUCUGCCAGAAAAUAUUUAUACAAAGAUCAAGAUCAUUAACCAUAAAAAGUUCACAUUUUAACUAUUCGGCCUCCAGAUUUCUGUGCUCAAGUUCCUGCCUUGACUUCCUUCCACAGUGGACUGUCACCUGUAAGCCAAAUAAACCCUUUCCCAGAA